CUGGACUUCAUCACACGCUGGACCUUCACGAAGAGAGUGGUGGCCUCGUUCUCUGCGCUCAGCGAGUGGAGCAAGGGGACGGCGACGGGAGCCAUGGUCGCUCAGGUGUCCGAGGACGACACCAUCCUCCGCGUGCUCGACGACUCCCAGGGGAAGUGAGCUGAGGCCUCAAAUGGGAGAGUGGGAGACCUCUUUAUGCUCCAAGGGUGUGCAGGAGAUAAAUUUGUGGUCCGAGUUCCAAAAUCCCACGAGUGACGUUGUCUCCCAUGCGACGUUUAGGAGCAACUUCAGUGAAGGGAGAAGGAUCGUCCAGUUGCAAAUCAGAGCAGGCACAAAACACUGUAAAUACAACAAACAUGAUGCAUAUCCUAGCCUACAGAACUUCCUGCAGCGCAUUCAUGUGGGCAAGUGGAUGAUGAUGGGGAUCAAUGGUAUGAAAU
This 440-nucleotide unclassified non-coding RNA is filed under the name Zea mays. RNAcentral describes it as "misc RNA Zm00001eb092930". The record is from RNAcentral. Lineage: Eukaryota; Viridiplantae; Streptophyta; Magnoliopsida; Poales; Poaceae.